UUCAUAUGAGAAAUCCGAUAAAAUUGGAACGAUACAGAGAAGAUUAGCAUGGCCCCUGUGCAAGGAUGACACACAAAUCGAGAAAUGGUCCAAAUUUUU
Picea glauca (white spruce) is the source of this 99-nucleotide non-coding RNA. The record is from Rfam. Lineage: Eukaryota; Viridiplantae; Streptophyta; Pinopsida; Pinales; Pinaceae.